UGAGGAAUAUUGGACAAUGGGGGAAACCCUGAUCCAGCGAUGCCGCGUGAGUGAAGAAGGCCUUCGGGUUGUAAAGCUCUUUUACCUGUGAAGAUGAUGACGGUAACAGGAGAAAAAGCACCGGCUAACUCUGUGCCAGCAGCCGCGGUAAGACAGAGGGUGCUAGCGUUGUUCGGAAUGACUGGGCGUAAAGGGCGCGUAGGCGGCUUUAUAAGUCGGGCGUGAAAGCCCCGGGCUCAACCCGGGAACUGCGUUCGAUACUGUAGAGCUUGAGUUCAGGAGAGGAAAGCGGAAUUCCUAGUGUAGAGGUGAAAUUCGUAGAUAUUAGGAGGAACACCAGAGGCGAAGGCGGCUUUCUGGACUGAUACUGACGCUGAGGCGCGAAAGCGUGGGGAGCAAA
Molecule: ribosomal RNA, 400 nt
Filed under: uncultured bacterium
Lineage: Bacteria
Description: bacterial SSU rRNA
Rfam family: Bacterial small subunit ribosomal RNA
Source: RNAcentral